UACGUAGGGGGCAAGCGUUGUCCGGAUUUACUGGGCGUAAAGAGCGUGUAGGCGGCCACGCAGGUCCGUUGUGAAAACUGGAGGCUCAACCUUCAGACGUCGACGGAAACCGUGUGGCUAGAGUCCGGAAGAGGAGAGUGGAAUUCCUGGUGUAGCGGUGAAAUGCGCAGAUAUCAGGAGGAACACCGGUGGCGAAGCGGGUCUCUGGCCGUUAGCUGACGCUGAGGACGAAGCGUGGGAGCGAAGCAGG
Molecule: ribosomal RNA, 250 nt
Filed under: uncultured bacterium
Lineage: Bacteria
Description: partial 16S ribosomal RNA
Rfam family: Bacterial small subunit ribosomal RNA
Source: RNAcentral